GUGCACCCACAGAGCUCCCCCUUAGCCCUCUCGAUCAGCUCCCCUAUCACAGCCCCAUUGGGCAGCGGGGUGUGGUUGGCUUCUUCUGGGAAGGACUGGUUUGGGACUUCACGGAUCCCCGCCCCCUCCGCUUUCAGAGCUGCCCUGCCCCAGCUCCUCCCUCGACUGUGCUCUCCAAAAGCGUGUGUUCCUUUAUUACCUCUGCCUCGAGCAAGGCUUGGAUUUGCACUGCUGACCUCGACGUGACAGGUUUAAAGCCCACAGCAUCUCAACAAGUGCCCUUUCAACCCAUGAGAGACCUGACCUGGUCUUCCACUGGCUCCCUUCGAAAAGAGUGAUCCAUCCCAGGUUUACGAGGGGAAAAACCUUCACUGGAACCGACGAGAAAGCAGACACCUUCUACCAUUUUCUCUGCAGACUUCGCAAGGGCUCAACACCUUUUGAAAGAGAAUACGGCUCCAAGCCCUUCACUCCGCUGGCUGGAGCAGCGUUUAAAAACAAAAGGCGUUUCAUCUCUGGCAAAUCGUAGCAGGACGUCAUAAACAGCUGGAAACUCUCUGAGGUGAAGACAAGUUGGAUGUGAUGUUUGGAUUCUUCUCCCCUCCCCCACGGUCACGGCGCUCCAUUUCCGACGGGGUUAUUGCUUCCAGCUUUAUGAAAUAUCUUGGCUCUCACCUCGGAUAAUUACUGAUCACCAUCAGCGCCUCACCUGAGGCACCUUAGCCCUCGGGUGAACCUAACCUUCUUUUUUCUUUUUCAAGAAUGAACGAGGGAAAACGGAAUGGGUGAGAGUAUGUCUUUAUUUCGAUUUUCAUUUGUAAUUCCCUGUGGCUUCCUAACGCUCAGGUCAUUAAUCAGUGUCAAAUCACCAGCCAGAGCGCAGACAAUAUUUUUGCCACAUGGGUUCCAGCGCGGAUUAAAUGGCAGUAAUUGUGUUACUAGGUAUGGAGCUCUCUCGUGGGUACUGUGGUAAUUAUUAAGGGGAUAGACGAGACCUCAGAGGCCACCCAAGGUUUUGAGCUAAGGGUGUACCUCACGACCUUCUGAAGUUUGAUAGAACUCCCCCAGUUGCUCUGACAAGUCCUCCUGGGGGAGGACCACCAAGAGCCCGGUAUCCCUCAUUUCGCUUCUACGUGUCCUUUUUUUUUUUUUUUUUUUGUCUUUUUGCCAUUUCUAGGGCCACUCCCGGGACAUAUGGAAGUUCCCAGGCUAGGGGUUUAAUCGGAGCUGCAGCCACCGGCCUACACCACAGCCACAACAACACGGGAUCCGAGCUCCAUCUGUGACCUCCACCACAGCUCACGGCAACACCAAAUCCUUAACCCACUGAGCAAGGCCAGGAGUCGAACCCGAAACCUCAUGGUUCCUAGUCGGAUUCGUUAACCACUGUGCCACAACGGGAACUCCGGCUUCUACGUGUCCUUUUAUGCUUCCAUGCCUUCUUUCCUAUUUCCUCUGCUGAGACAUCCUUAUUAUCCUCUCCUUACUUCUCUGCCUGGUAAAACCCUGUUAACCUGUAAGGCCCGGUCCAAAUGCUGCCUCUGUUAAGAAGCUUUCUGUGACGGAAAUAAUCCUUUUAUCCUUGAUCCCAUAUCACUUCUUAAACACCUUUGUGAACCUUCUGUCUUCUCGCUCCCCUACGGUAUAUGGAGCCACCUACAGGUGUCCACCUUUCCCACUCAACCAAGAGCUCCAGGAGGAUGAUGGUUGUACCUUAUUCAUUUUCAUAUAUUCAGGGCUGCCAUUCAUUGAACGGAUAAGCUGAUACCCAAAAGAAAUAAACGUUGGCCCAUUU
Molecule: long non-coding RNA, 1795 nt
Filed under: Sus scrofa (pig)
Lineage: Eukaryota; Metazoa; Chordata; Mammalia; Artiodactyla; Suidae
Description: lncRNA (ENSSSCG00055024496.1)
Source: RNAcentral